Ribosomal RNA from Lottia gigantea (owl limpet), 119 nucleotides. The record is from Rfam. NCBI's taxonomy places the organism in Eukaryota, Metazoa, Mollusca, Gastropoda, Lottiidae.
GUCUACGGCCAUACCAAGUUGAAAGCACCAUUUCUCGUCCGAUCACUGAAGUUAAGCAACGUCGGGCUCGGUUAGUACUUGGAUGGGUGACCGCCUGGGAACACCGAGUGCUGUAGACU